RNAcentral lists this ribosomal RNA (464 nucleotides) under uncultured bacterium. RNAcentral describes it as "partial 16S ribosomal RNA". It matches the Rfam family "Bacterial small subunit ribosomal RNA", at positions 339 to 795 of the family's 1533-position model. The record is from RNAcentral.
CUACGGGCCGCAGCAGUGGGGAAUAUUGGACAAUGGGCGCAAGCCUGAUCCAGCAAUACCGCGUGUGUGAAGAAGGCCUGCGGGUUGUAAAGCACUUUCAAUUGUGAAGAAAAGCGAGGGCUUAAUACGCUCUUGUCUUGACGUUAACUUUAGAAGAAGCACCGGCUAACUCUGUGCCAGCAGCCGCGGUAAUACAGAGGGUGCGAGCGUUAAUCGGAAUUACUGGGCGUAAAGCGUACGUAGGCGGUUUAGUAAGUCAGAUGUGAAAGCCCUGGGCUCAACCUGGGAACUGCAGUUGAAACUGCUAGACUCGAGUGUGGUAGAGGGAAGUGGAAUUCCGGGUGUAGCGGUGAAAUGCGUAGAUAUCCGGAGGAACACCAGUGGCGAAGGCGACUUCCUGGACCAACACUGACGCUGAGGUACGAAAGCGUGGGUAGCAAACAGGAUUAGAUACCCCGGUAGUC